UACAGAGGUCCCAAGCGUUGUUCGGAUUCACUGGGCGUAAAGGGUGCGUAGGUGGCUGGGUAAGUUUGAUGUGAAAUCUCCGGGCUUAACCCGGAAAUGGCAUUGAAUACUAUUCGGCUAGAGGUUUGGAGGGGGGACUGGAAUUCUCGGUGUAGCAGUGAAAUGCGUAGAUAUCGAGAGGAACACCAGUGGCGAAGGCGGCGACCUGGGCCAAUAUUGACGCUGAGGUGCGAAAGCGUGGGGAGCAAACAGG
RNAcentral lists this ribosomal RNA (253 nucleotides) under uncultured bacterium. RNAcentral's name for it is "partial 16S ribosomal RNA". It matches the Rfam family "Bacterial small subunit ribosomal RNA", at positions 524 to 776 of the family's 1533-position model. The record is from RNAcentral.